Scylla paramamosain (green mud crab) is the source of this 592-nucleotide long non-coding RNA. RefSeq lists it as uncharacterized. NCBI's taxonomy places the organism in Eukaryota, Metazoa, Arthropoda, Malacostraca, Decapoda, Portunidae. The record is from RefSeq and is a predicted model, not a curated record. The transcript has 3 exons.
CGCAUUCACUGACUGUGCGUGAGAGUGGCGGGGUGCAGAGGUGCGUGAAGGAGUGUUGCACCACCCGUAGCAGCUUCAUAUAACUAAGGUGCCUCCUUACUACCUAUAGACUGACUAACCACCAUCUUGACUACCACCACAGCAACCACUAUUACUACUACAACUACCACCACCACCAACAUUGCUCGCCACCACAAUUUGUCUGCCACAACCACAAGUGCGUCCUACCACAAUUUAAAUGCGAUACUUAUGACCACUGUGGUGACGGUAGUGAUGAAAUGGAUUGUGGUAGUAGUAGUGGUGGUGGUGGUGUUGUUGUUGUUGUUGGUGGUGGUGGUGUAUGGAAAGUCAUGCUGGUAGGCGAAAAACAUGACUACAGUGGAAAUGUUAUGAUUCGCAUCAUUAGCAACAACAACAACAACAACAACAAUAACAACAACAACAAUGAUGGCAGUAGUAGCAGUAGUAGUGAAUGGUCAUACAUAUAUGAUGACUAUUUUGACUAUCAGGAGGCCGAUGUUGUGUGUCGGACUAUCGGUCUAAAAGGAGCCGUAAAAUUUACUAGGAAUAACUAUUUCGAUGAUAGUAAUAG